UUUCCUUGUCUUUUUCCGCCUAUAUACCGCCGUCGUCAGCUUACUCUAUGAAGAACCUGCAGUAGGCACAAUCGGUACAGCCCAAAACGCCAGGUCGAGGUGUAGCGUAUGGAAAGGGAAGAAAUGGGCUACAUUCAAUGUUUUAUUGAAUACGGAUGACACCCUGAAAAAAUGUCUGAAGGAGGAUUUAGCAGUAAGCAGGGAAUAGAGAGCCCUGCUGAAACUGGCCCUGAAGCGCGCACACACCGCCCGUCACUCUCCCCGAGCUAAUAAACUUUUAUUAACUAAAAAACAAAACCUGUAAAGGGGAGGCAAGUCGUAACAUGGUAAGUGUACCGGAAGGUGCACUUGGAUAAAC
RNAcentral lists this ribosomal RNA (358 nucleotides) under Halichoeres prosopeion (twotone wrasse). RNAcentral's name for it is "partial 12S ribosomal RNA". It matches the Rfam family "Bacterial small subunit ribosomal RNA", at positions 1020 to 1527 of the family's 1533-position model. Lineage: Eukaryota; Metazoa; Chordata; Actinopteri; Labriformes; Labridae. The record is from RNAcentral.